Molecule: ribosomal RNA, 423 nt
Filed under: uncultured bacterium
Lineage: Bacteria
Description: bacterial SSU rRNA
Rfam family: Bacterial small subunit ribosomal RNA
Source: RNAcentral
GGGCCCGCACAAGCGGUGGAGCAUGUGGUUUAAUUCGAUGCAACGCGAAGAACCUUACCAGGGCUUGACAUACUACAGAUCUUUUUGAGAAAGAAGAGUGCCUUCGGGAAUGUAGAUACAGGUGGUGCAUGGCUGUCGUCAGCUCGUGUCGUGAGAUGUUGGGUUAAGUCCCGCAACGAGCGCAACCCUUAUUUUUAGUUACCAACUUGUUGGGUUCUCUAGAAAGACUGCCGGUGACAAACCGGAGGAAGGUGAGGAUGACGUCAAGUCAGCAUGCCCCUUAUGUCCUGGGCUACACACGUGCUACAAUGGCUAAGACAAAGAGUUGCGAGUUCGUGAGAACCAGCUAAUCUCGUAAACUUAGCCUAAGUUCAGAUUGUAGGCUGCAACUCGCCUACAUGAAGUUGGAAUCGCUAGUAAUCG